UACGGGGGGGGCAAGCGUUGUUCGGAAUUACUGGGCGUAAAGGGCUCGUAGGCGGCCAACUAAGUCAGACGUGAAAUCCCCAGGCUCAACCUGGGAACUGCGUCUGAUACUGGAUGGCUUGAAUCCGGGAGAGGGAUGCAGAAUUUCAGGUGUAGCGGUGAAAUGCGUAGAUAUCUGGAGGAAUACCGGUGGCGAAGGCGGCAUCCUGGACCGGCAUUGACGCUGAGGAGCGAAAGCCAGGGGAGCAAACGGG
Molecule: ribosomal RNA, 253 nt
Filed under: uncultured bacterium
Lineage: Bacteria
Description: partial 16S ribosomal RNA
Rfam family: Bacterial small subunit ribosomal RNA
Source: RNAcentral